GAUGAACGCUGGCGGCGUGCCUAAUACAUGCAAGUCGAGCGAACGGACGAGAAGCUGGCUUCUCUGAUGUUAGCGGCGGACGGGUGAGUAACACGUGGAUAACCUACCUAUAAGACUGGGAUAACUUCGGGAAACCGGAGCUAAUACCGGAUAAUAUUUUGAACCGCAUGGUUCAAAAGUGAAAGACGGUCUUGCUGUCACUUAUAGAUGGAUCCGCGCUGCAUUAGCUAGUUGGUAAGGUAACGGCUUACCAAGGCAACGAUGCAUAGCCGACCUGAGAGGGUGAUCGGCCACACUGGAACUGAGACACGGUCCAGACUCCUACGGGAGGCAGCAGUAGGGAAUCUUCCGCAAUGGGCGAAAGCCUGACGGAGCAACGCCGCGUGAGUGAUGAAGGUCUUCGGAUCGUAAAACUCUGUUAUUAGGGAAGAACAUAUGUGUAAGUAACUGUGCACAUCUUGACGGUACCUAAUCAGAAAGCCACGGCUAACUACGUG
Molecule: ribosomal RNA, 497 nt
Filed under: uncultured bacterium
Lineage: Bacteria
Description: partial 16S ribosomal RNA
Rfam family: Bacterial small subunit ribosomal RNA
Source: RNAcentral